GGCCACAGCCAUAUUACCCUGCAGCCCAAGACCAGUUAUUCACUGAAGCGAAGCAAGGCUGAGCCUGGUUAGUAUUGGAUGGGAGAUCACAUGGGAAACUUAGGUUGCUGUUGGAA
Molecule: ribosomal RNA, 116 nt
Organism: Danio rerio (zebrafish)
Lineage: Eukaryota; Metazoa; Chordata; Actinopteri; Cypriniformes; Danionidae
Source: Ensembl